Molecule: non-coding RNA, 157 nt
Filed under: Alphaproteobacteria bacterium
Lineage: Bacteria; Pseudomonadati; Pseudomonadota; Alphaproteobacteria
Also listed under: 3 other names
Description: 6S RNA
Rfam family: 6S / SsrS RNA
About the family: E. coli 6S RNA was the first non coding RNA to be sequenced, but its function was unknown until recently.
Source: RNAcentral
CGACGACUGAGCCUCGCGUUUGGAUUUUCGAUCCCUGGGGCCAUAAAUCAUCUCUCGGGAGCUGCCUCUGGCCGGAUCGUGGUCCGGUUAUUCGCGGCGCCCACCUGCAUUGCAGGUCACAGAGGAUGAAGCUACCGACGGUUGUUUUGGUCGUCGC